Long non-coding RNA from Carlito syrichta (Philippine tarsier), 1607 nucleotides. RefSeq lists it as uncharacterized. The record is from RefSeq and is a predicted model, not a curated record. The transcript is spliced from 13 exons. Lineage: Eukaryota; Metazoa; Chordata; Mammalia; Primates; Tarsiidae.
AAAAUCUUGGGAAUAAACUGCUUUCCUGGGACAAAUGGUUUCAGUCAGGUGUUUGACCUCGAAUCUUCUGAUAAUCAAAUAUUCUCCAGAGGAAUGGAAAUUGAGGUGAUGACUUCAAAAUCAUGCCCAAUAGGAUUAUGCUGAGGCCCAGGCAAGGAUACAGUUGUGGAAACCAACAUGGUGAUGAUGAUAGCCCCUGGCAGUUCUACUGUGUUUGGUGCUGGAGAAUCCAAGACCUGGAGGCCAUCUUGGAGUGCACAACUAUGUGGAUGUGCUCCUCCAAGUAAUUGCCCAAUGUUAUUCUUAUACCUUGGCCAUCUUCCUGAGAGUGGGGCACUUUACCAACAACUUGCCUAGCACCCAAACUCUCUUUGUGUCUUUCAGUGGAAAGUUCUGCUCAGAGUGGCACCAUUGCAUGCACCAUCAUAGGGAGAAGUGGGUUUUGUCCUGCUCUACAGAAACAAGAGAAUCAAGCUCAUUGAAACAUAAUACAGAUUCUUUAACUCAAGUUGUGAAUGACCAUAGCCUCUGCUGGGUAUUUUCUGAGGAUGCAGGGAACCUGGAUUGGUGAAACUAAGCAAAGAGAUUCCACCAGAUCCAUGCUCCUGGCCCUGGUGGAUCAUCAGUCUUCAGCCUAUAGGACAGAUUCCAUGUGACAAGAUCUGUCCUCAGAGAAAAUCUUGGAAAUAAGCUUCAACCCUGUGACAAAGUGUUUCAGCCAGGUGCCUGGCCUCCAGUCCACUGAAAGUCAGUCUUCAGAACUCUUGUCUCCUAUCUUCACUUGCGUGGAAUGUUCUGCCAACAUUGGUUCCAUGGUACGCACCAUCAUAGGCCUGGGUGAGGCUGGAGAGAGAAGAGCCUUGAGACACUCUCAAGCUGCUGUUAAAUGUGCCCCAAGUGACUCCUCCAAAAGCCAGGAGAAGUGGUUUUUGUCGAGCGUGACAGAAACUGGACAGCCAGGCUCAUGGAAACAUAUUAAAUGUUUCUUUCACUCAAGUUAUGCAUGGUCUUGGCCUCAACUGGGCAUCUUCUGAGAUCCUGGUUUUGUAGAACAUCUUGUGAAUUAGCUUCAGCCUCUGGGACAAAGGAUGUCAACCAGGUGCCUGGCCUUGAGACUGCUGAAAGUCUGAUGGUCUCCAGAACCCUUGUUUCCUCUUUUGUUUUGUGUGGAAAGUUCUGCUCAGGCAUGCAUCAUCAUAGAUUCUGGCCUGGGAGAAGGUCUUUGAAAUAAGCUGCUGUCCAAGUUGCAAAAGGUUUCAACCAGAUGCCUGGCCAUCAAUUCUCUGAAAACCAAAUAAUGUCCAUAACACUGUUCCUUGCUGACUUCUAAUGAGCAUAUGGUUGUCUAUGAAAGGGAUAAUGGAAAGUGGAAGUUUCUUCUCACCCUGGCUGCAUGACAUGCACGAUCAUAGGUCCUCAAACCGAGGCUGGAACACUAGAGCAGUCCCUUGCUUAUCACCCAAUCUCUCUUUGUGCCUUUCAGUGGAACAUUCUGCUCAGCAUGGCUGCAUUGCAUUCACCAUCAUAGGGAGAAGUGGGUUUUGUUCUGCUGUACAGAAAAAAGAGAAUCAGGCUCAUGAAACAUAAUAAAGGUUUCUGUGGCUCAA